UACGGGGGGGGCAAGCGUUGUUCGGAAUUACUGGGCGUAAAGGGCUCGUAGGUGGCCAACUAAGUCAGACAUGAAAUCCCUCGGCUUAACCGAGGAACUGCCUGUCAAACUGCAUGGCUUGAGACCAGGAGAGGUGAGUGGAAUUCCCAGUGUAGCGGUGAAAUGCGUAGAUAUUGGGAGGAACACCAGUGGCGAAGGCGGCUCACUGGACUGGUACUGACGCUGAGGCGCGAAAGCGUGGGGAGCAAACAGG
Molecule: ribosomal RNA, 253 nt
Filed under: uncultured bacterium
Lineage: Bacteria
Description: partial 16S ribosomal RNA
Rfam family: Bacterial small subunit ribosomal RNA
Source: RNAcentral